GACGAACGCUGGCGGCGUGCCUAAUACAUGCAAGUCGAGCGGAUGAAUCGAAAGCUUGCUUUUGAUUCGUUAGCGGCGGACGGGUGAGUAACACGUGGGCAACCUGCCCUGUAGACGGGGAUAACACCGAGAAAUCGGUGCUAAUACCGGAUAACAUUAAAUGUCGCAUGACGUUUCGUUGAAAGACGGCCCAAGCUGUACUUACAGGUGGGGCCCGCGGCGCAUUAGCUAGUGGGUGAGGUAACGGCUAACCAAGGCGACGAUGCGUAGCCGACCUGAGAGGGUGAUCGGCCACACUGGGACUGAGACACGGCCCAGACUCCUACGGGAGGCAGCAGUAGGGAAUCUUCCGCAAUGGACGAAAGUCUGACGGAGCAACGCCGCGUGAGCGAAGAAGGCCUUCGGGUCGUAAAGCUCUGUUGUUAGGGAAGAACAAGUAACGAAGUAACUGGCGUUACCGUGACGGUACCUAACGAGAAAGCCACGGCUAACUACGUG
This 498-nucleotide ribosomal RNA is filed under the name uncultured bacterium. RNAcentral describes it as "partial 16S ribosomal RNA". It matches the Rfam family "Bacterial small subunit ribosomal RNA", at positions 28 to 507 of the family's 1533-position model. The record is from RNAcentral.